GGAACUACCAACGUCUUACACAGCUUUUAAACAGUAAAUAAUAUUGCGAACACACAGGUGGUAUUCGCAAAUAUAUAUUUUACAUCUUGAAAGCACAACAACCUUCUUCUAUAUCUGUCCUAUUAUUGUCUAACGAAAUCUACAAAAGAAUAAAGAAAAUGACUGAUUAAGAAUCAUCUGUACCGUCACCAUCAAUAUCAUCGUCAUCCUGAUACAUGUUCAUAAGCACAUUUAUCUGGCUUUGCAACAUAGCAUUUUGCCUCUCUACAUCAGCACGCUUGCUUCUUUCUUCUAGCAGCUGUAUUUGCAGAUGUUCCAGGCAUUGAGCAUCUGCUUCUAGCUGUUCAUUCAGACCAUCGAUUUCGCGAUCCUUUCUAUUCAUUUCCUGUAGAGCGAUUCUUCGCAUACUUUCAACAACAUCCACAUUUACAAGCUUCCGUCUCUUUCCAGCCAGCCAACCUUUGGGGUAACAUGCAGCAUCAAAGUCUGGUGGGGGUAGCAAAGUUUCAGCUGAUGGCCUACGGCCAUUUGCAUUUGUAACCGGCUCCAAUGGUUCAAAGAGUGCCUUCCUACGCUCUGAAAGUUCAGUAGAGGGCUGCGAUUCCUGCAUCUUUUCAUCAGCUGGAGACUCAUCUUGCUUUUGAGGUGUUUCAUCAGCUGGAGACUCUUCUUGCUUUUGAGGCGUUUCCAAGUUCUUCACACCGGCUACUAGGCGAAGCAUUUCCUUAGCAUGAUAAAUGUAUGAUAUACAAAAUAUGAAUUGUAUGAACUGUGUAUUGAUUGGGCUUAUAGUCAUCACUCUAUUAUCUUUAUGGAACAAGACAUUAAACAGGACUAAAAUAUCAGAAGUAAGUUCUCCAAACAAAAUAUUAGUUAUGUUCAGAUAUUCUUGACUAUUUCAACAAUUACAACAUACUCAAUAUAAAUCCAUAAGUGAGGUCUGGAGAGGGUUACGCAAGCCUUACCCCUACACCUUGGGAGCUAGAGAGACUGUUUCUGAUAGACCUUCGAC
RNAcentral lists this unclassified non-coding RNA (1012 nucleotides) under Hevea brasiliensis (rubber tree). Lineage: Eukaryota; Viridiplantae; Streptophyta; Magnoliopsida; Malpighiales; Euphorbiaceae. The record is from RNAcentral.